GCUUCAUCAAUAGAGGGCAACCACAAUUCUCAAAAGCUUCACACACUCUUGAUCAAGACAGUGUGAAGCAAAACCAAUUUAUGGUGCCAACAACAAGAGCUUUAUCAAUGGAGGGCAACCACAAUUCUCAAAAGCUUCACACACUCUUGAUCAAGACAAUGUGAAGCAAAACCAAUUUAUGGUGCCAACAAGAGCUUCAUCAAAGGAGUUCAACCAC
This 217-nucleotide long non-coding RNA is filed under the name Malus domestica (apple). RNAcentral's name for it is "long non-coding RNA (MDOM_LNC019026)". The record is from RNAcentral. Lineage: Eukaryota; Viridiplantae; Streptophyta; Magnoliopsida; Rosales; Rosaceae.